RNAcentral lists this ribosomal RNA (1492 nucleotides) under uncultured bacterium. RNAcentral's name for it is "bacterial SSU rRNA". It matches the Rfam family "Bacterial small subunit ribosomal RNA". The record is from RNAcentral.
UUGAGAGUUUGAUCCUGGCUCAGGAUGAACGCUAGCGGCAGGCUUAACACAUGCAAGUCGAGGGGCAGCACGGGUAGCAAUACCUGGUGGCGACCGGCGCACGGGUGCGUAACGCGUAUGGAACCUACCCACCGCAGGGGGAUAGCCCACCGAAAGGUGGAUUAAUACCCCAUGGCUUCCCGGAAUCGCAUGAUUCUGGGUGUAAAGCUACGGCGGCGGUGGAUGGCCAUGCGUGCCAUUAGCUAGUCGGCGGGGUAACGGCCCACCGAGGCUAUGAUGGCUAGGGGGUCUGAGAGGAUGAUCCCCCACACUGGUACUGAGACACGGACCAGACUCCUACGGGAGGCAGCAGUGAGGAAUAUUGGUCAAUGGGCGGAAGCCUGAACCAGCCAUGCCGCGUGCAGGAAGACGGCCCUACGGGUUGUAAACUGCUUUUGCGCGGGAAGAAUAACCCCCUCGUGAGGGGGGAUGCCGGUACCGCGCGAAUAAGGAUCGGCUAACUCCGUGCCAGCAGCCGCGGUAAUACGGAGGAUCCAAGCGUUAUCCGGAUUUACUGGGUUUAAAGGGUGCGUAGGCUGACACUUAAGUCAGCGGUGAAAUGCAACGGCUCAACCGUUGAACUGCCGUUGAAACUGGGUGCCUUGGGUUCGGUCGAGGCUGGCGGAAUGCGUGGUGUAGCGGUGAAAUGCUUAGAUAUCACGCGGAACGCCGAUUGCGAAGGCAGCUGGCCAGACCGAUACCGACGCUGAGGCACGAAAGCGUGGGGAUCAAACAGGAUUAGAUACCCUGGUAGUCCACGCCGUAAACGAUGAUCACUGGAUGCCGGCGAUACACCGUCGGUGUCUGAGCGAAAGCAUUAAGUGAUCCACCUGGGGAGUACGAUCGCAAGGUUGAAACUCAAAGGAAUUGACGGGGGCCCGCACAAGCGGAGGAACAUGUGGUUUAAUUCGAUGAUACGCGAGGAACCUUACCUGGGCUCAAACGCACUUGGAAGCGCGCCGAAAGGCGUGUGCCAGCAAUGGCCGGGUGCGAGGUGCUGCAUGGUUGUCGUCAGCUCGUGCCGUGAGGUGUCGGGUUAAGUCCCAUAACGAGCGCAACCCCUACUGCUAGUUGCCAGCGCGUCAAGGCGGGGACUCUAGCGGAACUGCCGGCGUAAGCCGUGAGGAAGGUGGGGAUGACGUCAAAUCAGCACGGCCCUUAUGUCCAGGGCUACACACGUGUUACAAUGGCCGGUACAGAGGGCAGCCACCCCGCGAGGGGGCGCUAAUCCCGAAAGCCGGUCCCAGUUCGGAUCGGAGUCUGCAACCCGACUCCGUGAAGCUGGAUUCGCUAGUAAUCGCGCAUCAGCUACGGCGCGGUGAAUACGUUCCCGGGCCUUGUACACACCGCCCGUCAAGCCAUGGAAGCUGGGGGUACCUGAAGUCCGUAACCGUGAGGAGCGGCCUAGGGUAAAACCGGUGACUGGGACUAAGUCGUAACAAGGUAGCCGUAG